This is a long non-coding RNA of Scleropages formosus (Asian bonytongue), 315 nucleotides long. RefSeq lists it as uncharacterized. The record is from RefSeq and is a predicted model, not a curated record. NCBI's taxonomy places the organism in Eukaryota, Metazoa, Chordata, Actinopteri, Osteoglossiformes, Osteoglossidae. The transcript is spliced from 3 exons.
GCAGGCAAGUGUUGCAGGGUAAGAGAUUUACUUUCUCAAAGCACCUUUCCCAGUAUCCCUGGAACAGAAAGACAGUAUGAACUGACGAUGACGUCGUUUGGAGAUACAAGUUGCCGGGCCGCCAGAACUCAAUUUCAGCUGAGCAGCGUCAAGCAUACGAGUGGGGCUUGGAACCUUGCUGAGACCCUGGGAGCCUGGCCAUGCUCAGAGUGGAAAGGAACCCCUUCUGGCUGCUGGCAGACCAUAAAGACUGUGAAGGGGUCUAGAGGAAACGGUCAAGGAGAACAUUGCUGAGAACCUCCAGGUUCACCCGGG